Molecule: non-coding RNA, 114 nt
Organism: Caenorhabditis elegans
Lineage: Eukaryota; Metazoa; Nematoda; Chromadorea; Rhabditida; Rhabditidae
Source: Ensembl
UUGAGACCUGUGCAUAACAUAACUGCCAUCAAUUUGCAUUUAGUGCAGCUUAGAUUGAUUUGUACUUCUUCUCUCUCUUCUCUUUGACCACACGACAACACUCGACGGCGGUCG